This is a long non-coding RNA of Bos taurus (domestic cattle), 950 nucleotides long. The record is from Ensembl. Lineage: Eukaryota; Metazoa; Chordata; Mammalia; Artiodactyla; Bovidae.
GGGCCCUAAUCUCCGAUACUCUUGCGAGUUGGCUUCCUGCCCCGGAGCCCCCACUCCCCGAGCAAACAGGGCGGCGCGGCGCUGCAUCCGAAAUGCGGCAUUUGAGCCCCGCAGUGGAGGAAAGCCGGUGCAGGCCGCUCGGCUGUAAUUGCCCUUCUCCGCCCUAAUCCUUCGGUCCGGCCCAGUCCGCCGGCUGCGGCCCAUUGAUCAGCGCUGCAGUGGAGGGCUCCGGGAGGGGCGCCCCACCUUCUCCCCGGGGCCUAGGAGGCAGUCGGGACCCACCUACCCGUCCCCCACCCCUUGUUCUUAGAGCCCCUCUUGCUGAGGUCAAUCCGGCCUUGAAGGCGGAGAACGUCCUUGGAAAGGGCAUCGAGGUUGCCGGGGGAAAUGAGCGUGGGGGGAGGAAGAGAACACCUACACCCUUGGCAGGGCCCGCCAGGCUGAGACCCCAGAUCGCGCUGGCCUUCGUUAGGUCCUUAAUGAGAGAGAUCAGAGCAGGAAAAGAGAGACAGAGGGUGACACAGGAGCCUUUGGGGACAAACCCACUGUGGCCUGAAUGAUGGCUUCACCGGGACCAGACUCUGUUCCUAGCUAGGCUUGAUGCUGACUCCUUGAGAGCAGGGACCAAGCCUGGCCUGGAAUUCCUUAUCUGCCCUGCAGCACCCAGGCCGGGGUGGCCCUCAGUAUAUACCCAGGGACCUAAUGCCUGUCUGAAGACUUUGGACAGUUCCUCCUAUUGCUUUAUUUCUGGUUGUGGACAGGGUGACCCAGGUCACAUGUCUGCAGGGACAGGACUGAGCUAAAGCCUGAGCCCUGCACCCCGGAAGCGGUGGGAUCUCCUCCUCCUGCAUCUCAUCAGGCAGAUUACGAAGGCGCAGCUGUCUCCACCUCAUGCUUUUCGGUGCGGCCUGGUGGGGGCUCCUCAGCUUUCUCAUGUACCAGGUGUAUGG